RNAcentral lists this ribosomal RNA (445 nucleotides) under uncultured bacterium. RNAcentral's name for it is "partial 16S ribosomal RNA". It matches the Rfam family "Bacterial small subunit ribosomal RNA", at positions 354 to 796 of the family's 1533-position model. The record is from RNAcentral.
GUGAGGAAUAUUGGUCAAUGGGCGGGAGCCUGAACCAGCCAAGUCGCGUGAAGGAAGAAGGAUCUAUGGUUCGUAAACUUCUUUUGCAGGGGAAUAAAGUGCAGGACGUGUCCUGUUUUGUAUGUACCCUGAGAAUAAGGAUCGGCUAACUCCGUGCCAGCAGCCGCGGUAAUACGGAGGAUCCGAGCGUUAUCCGGAUUUAUUGGGUUUAAAGGGUGUGUAGGUGGUUUGAUAAGUCAGCGGUGAAAGUUUGCAGCUUAACUGUAAAAAUGCCGUUGAAACUGUCGGACUUGAGUGUAAAUGAGGUAGGCGGAAUGCGUGGUGUAGCGGUGAAAUGCAUAGAUAUCACGCAGAACUCCGAUUGCGAAGGCAGCUUACUAAGCUACAACUGACACUGAAGCACGAAAGCGUGGGGAUCAAACAGGAUUAGAUACCCGAGUAGUCC